This 253-nucleotide ribosomal RNA is filed under the name uncultured bacterium. RNAcentral describes it as "partial 16S ribosomal RNA". It matches the Rfam family "Bacterial small subunit ribosomal RNA", at positions 524 to 776 of the family's 1533-position model. The record is from RNAcentral.
UACGUAGGUGACAAGCGUUGUCCGGAUUUACUGGGCGUAAAGAGCGCGCAGGCGGUCGAUCAAGUCGAGUGUGAAAGCCCCCGGCUCAACUGGGGAGGGUCAUUCGAUACUGAUCGACUCGAAGGCAGGAGAGGGUAGUGGAAUUCCCGGUGUAGUGGUGAAAUGCGCAGAUAUCAGGAGGAACACCGGUGGCGAAGGCGGGACUCUGGGCCGAUACUGACGCUGAGGAGCGAAAGCGUGGGGAGCGAACAGG